Molecule: long non-coding RNA, 2534 nt
Filed under: Ananas comosus (pineapple)
Lineage: Eukaryota; Viridiplantae; Streptophyta; Magnoliopsida; Poales; Bromeliaceae
Description: long non-coding RNA (ACOM_LNC003493)
Source: RNAcentral
AAAUGGAAACCAGGGAUAGGGCAGUCCUAAUUCCUGUUUAGUAUUAUUGUAUUCAUUCAACCUAGGGAAGGAUUUGAAUCACUAAUUUGGAUUGUUAAAGCUCUCAAGUGCCAUGAGAAUCUACAAACCAUGCUAAGUUGAUAGCAUGUGAAACUUAAGUGCUAAUUCUAUGAUGAGUUAGAGUAAUUAUUUAUCAAAAGGAAGCUUGAAUUAGAGGUCAUGAAUAUUGUGUAAUCACCUUCUAAAGAGACCUAAAUUGCAAGUUUAAGUAUUAGGGCUCUUAAUACCAUGAAAAGGCUUAAGGGAAUUGGUGCUGGCAGCUUAUAUGUAUAUGCAUGUAUCUAUCUAUAUGUUUAUGAAUAGUAUGUAUAUAAGCUGUAACUAAUAGUGAAAUCAGGGAUGAAUUGAUUCAAUUCCCUGGUUUAAAUGAUGUUCCCUGCUGUGUUAAGGAGUUGAUAAAGGAUUGCUAUGAGCUGAAUUACUUACCUUAGAAAUGAUGUUUAUAUGGACUUAUUGUAGCCAUAAGUAGCAGCCUGGAUGCUUCCAGACUUGUAGAGGUGGCCGAACAGCAACCUGAUGCUAUUGGUGCUGAGGAAAAAUUAGUUGGAGUUGUAGGGAAGGUGGCAAAGCUGAGAGUAAUCCAAGAGGACAGCAAUGUAAGCUAAGUUAAUAACUUAGUGUGACUAACUUAAUUGCUCAGAAUUAAUCCAUAAAAGGAUUCAUUAUUGCUGAAAAUUGAGAGUUGAAAUUGAUGUUGUUGGGGCUGCCAAAUCGAAGGAUUCAGCUGAAAGAGAGUUGGGCCUAUUGGAGCUGUUGAUUCAGGAGGCCAGCUAAAACGAAACUCUAGAAAGUUAAGAGCAACCUAGAGAAGCCGAGGUGCUGAAAUUUCUGCAUUGCGCAGAAUUUCAGCAUAGAUUACUUGCUAUUGGAGUUGGAAAAGAGAACUUAGUGAAGCUUCAAAUUGGGUAAGUGAAUAGUUCUUCUCUGAGUUGAGUGAUAGGAGUUACUCUAAAGAGGUUAUAAGUACUUGAAUUAGUUAAUUGGAAUUGGUAUAGGGGCUGCGAAGAGGAAGUAAAGUGCAGAAAAUUCAGCAUGGUGCUGAAAUUUCAGCAUAAGUGCAGAAAUUUCAGCAUUAGAAAUUCCUGCUGUGGAGCUGAGAACGAACUAAUUGAGCAGCGAACUACGGUAAAUAUGAUUGUAUCAUGAUUAGGAAUCAGUUAAUUGUAAUAGAGGGAUGUUAAUUAAGAGUUCUAUGGGUAUUUGAGUUAAUGAAAACUCAAACCUGCAUUGAGGAGUUACUAGUUUGAACCUUAUAAAACUAGCUUACACUCUAUACAUGUACAUACUAGGAAUGAUCAGUAAAGAGAAAAUUGGGAUUAAAUUAGCUUUAAAUUUUGAGCUAAUGGAAAGGCAAAACUGCAUUGCUAAAUUCCUAAUUAAACUCUAUAAAGUUAGCUCACACUAUACAUAGCAUGUAUGUAUAUACAUAUGGAUGUCUAUGGAUAUAAUGUCAAAAUGGAAGACUGAAUUAAGUAGUUUAAAUUCUGAAUUAGAGUAAGAAUAAUGGCUGUAGAGAAAUGGAUUUGGGAGGCUAUUAAGGUCUCUACAUAAUAUGAAAUGUAUAGAACUAACUAUAGGUAUGUACAUAGUGAUACUAUACAUACUAGUUGGGGUUAAAUGCAAAGUUUGUAAAGAUACACAUGUGACUCAAGUUUAACCUCUUUUAUUCCUUUAGGAAGGAAGGGUAAGCGUGCUCGGAAGUUCGAAUUGACAUUUCGACGGACCUACGACGCGGUAAUUAAGAAACGCUUCGUUCUAGCUUUACUUGCAUCGAGUCGCGUGGACUAAUGUUUGUACGGUUCGUGACGUUGGUUCUAGUCUUCGACAUCCCUACAGGUGGGUGGUGCUAUCCGAAGUCUUUGAAUCACCUUUUAUGUCUAUGUUAUUCAUUGAGCAUAUUUACUUCUGUUUUUCAUGCAUUAUAGGGUAUGGGCAUUGGUAUUAUGCAAGUGAUAGUGAAUGUGUGAAUUCUUAUUGAUAGUGAGAACAUAUGAACAUAGAAUGUGGACAUAGAAACCUAUGAAUGCAUGGACUAUAACAAUAGUGAACUUGGUGACAUAUGACUAGAGAUUUGGUUAGCAUCGACAUUGGAAUUAUAAAACUAGCAUAAAGAGCUAGUUAGAGUAAAGUGUGACAGUGUUUGUCAGUUAAAUCCUCUAAAGGGGGAUCAGAUCAUACUCACAUUUGUUUGGUUCAAGUGAGGUCGCUCCUCCUUGAACGAUGAGCUCCGGAGUAGUCAUCUUUACUGGACCAGGAGGUUGCGUCUCCCCCAGUUGACAGUCCCGUCGGGUGCAGGUUGCGUCUCCCCGAUAUUUGGGAUAGUGUCAGUGAGUUAAUGUUAACCAGAGGGUUAACCAAAAGAUUGGGUAAAGAUAAUGAAAAGCAUGCAUGCAUAUUUACAGUUUUCAUAUACAUCGUUUCUUUCAGCUUGUACAGGCAUUGUAGUAGUUACAUAUUAUAGUCGGUUACUAUCN